Long non-coding RNA from Mesocricetus auratus (golden hamster), 1133 nucleotides. RefSeq lists it as uncharacterized. Lineage: Eukaryota; Metazoa; Chordata; Mammalia; Rodentia; Cricetidae. The transcript has 3 exons. The record is from RefSeq and is a predicted model, not a curated record.
CAAUACCAGCCAUUCAGGGGAAGGGAAGGGAUCCAGCAGUUUUCACUUACGUUGCCACAAGCUGCAGGCACUAAAAAUACACUCUGCAGUCCCAUCCUGAGUUCCUUCAGUGUCUCCAUCGCCUAGGAAGCCACCAACCAGCUUUCUUUUGUUAAUGUCUGGGAGACUGGAGCAACCACACAAGCUGUUAAAGGUGGCCCGACUUCAUCUUCUCCCCCCCCUUCAGACUCUUCAGGAGAGCUGAAGGGACAAGAGAGGCCUCGCCUACAGACAUUGGAGAUGAAGUGAGGAGAGAAACGGGGGCUCUCAGCCUGCAGCUAGGACAAAGAGAAACUCAGGUGUGAAUGAAGAACUAGCCAAUGGCAAGCUGAGUGGGAGUAGAGGUAAAUGGACCUGGGCAACUGGCAAACAGCACGGCGUCUGGAAGACGAGGGUCCAGAAGGUGCCAGCUUGUCUCUGUAGAAAGGAUGAAAGAGAACUCACCAUUCUACACUGCUGUUCAGCAUGAGCUCACAAAGGCAACACAAGAUGUGCCCCACAGUCAGAAGGCUGCAGCGUAUCUGAGAGCAUCAGGGCAGCAGAGGACAUGAAUGUCAGCGUCAUACAUGCACCUCCCAUCAUCCGCAAAAGCUGUAUGUAAGCCUUCUGGGCCCUUCCAGCCAUUUAGUUUGCUUGUGUUUUUGUCCUUGCUGAAUGAACACUAUGGAUCUUUGGAUCUUGCUUCUAGACAUGAAAAGAAUUCUAUGAAAGUGCUCAGAGUCUAAGUGCUCCCAUUCUUACUAAUUCCCCAUCAGAACAACACUGCUGCUACUCAACAGAGGAGGGCAUACUCCGCCGGCUGCCUCUUAGCCUCUCAUGCAUUCAAUGUUCUCCCUGAGGAUGAGGAAGGUGAUCGGAUGUGCCUCACAGCACAGGCAUCCUGAGGCAGGGGCAUGAGAAGGCUGGAGAGUAGGGUAAAGUAAGCUUCAGGAGGAACAUGAAUAGGUACUGACAAUUUACUGUAGCCACAGUUCCCAAUCUGGCCAGCUAGGAGCUCUGACCACUCCCUGCCUGCAGGCACAUCUUGCUGGUCCAUGGCCCAGACCCCAAGGCACCAAAACUCUGCCUGUAAAAAAAGCCAGAGGCACUUACCA